CGAAUCCACUAGGGGCGCCCUUGCGGGCUGAGAUAAGGCGAAUCCGCCUUGGUCCCUUUGAACCUGAUCUGGGUAAUGCCAGCGUAGGAAAGUGGGAAGGCUUCGGA
Molecule: non-coding RNA, 107 nt
Filed under: Thermobacillus composti
Lineage: Bacteria; Bacillati; Bacillota; Bacilli; Caryophanales; Paenibacillaceae
Also listed under: 1 other name
Description: TPP sequence
Rfam family: TPP riboswitch aptamer (THI element)
About the family: Vitamin B(1) in its active form thiamin pyrophosphate (TPP) is an essential coenzyme that is synthesised by coupling of pyrimidine and thiazole moieties in bacteria. The previously detected thiamin-regulatory element, thi box was extended, resulting in a new, highly conserved RNA secondary structure, the THI element, which is widely distributed in eubacteria and also occurs in some archaea. Analysis of operon structures identified a large number of new candidate thiamin-regulated genes, mostly transporters, in various prokaryotic organisms.
Source: RNAcentral